GCUAAAUACUACUUAGUGACCGAUAGCGCAUAGUACCGUGAGGGAAAGGUGAAAAGAACCCCGGGAGGGGAGUGAAAUAGAACCUGAAACCCUGUGCUUACAAGCUGUGGGAGCACUUUAUAUGUGUGACCGCGUACUUUUUGUAGAACGGGCCAACGAGUUACGACAGUAAGCAAGGUUAAGUACUUAAGGUAUGGAGCCGUAGUGAAAGCGAGUCUUAAAUGGGCGUUAAGUUUUCUGUCGUAGACCCGAAACCGGGCGACCUACCCAUGAGCAGGAUGAAGCGAAAGUAAAAUUUCGUGGAGGUCCGAACCCACGAGCGUUGAAAAGCUCGGGGAUGACUUGUGGGUAGCGGUGAAAUUCCAAUCGAGCCCGGAGAUAGCUGGUUCUCCCCGAAAUAGCUUUAGGGCUAGCCUCAAGGUUGAGAAAUACGGAGGUAGAGCACUGAAUAUCCUAGGGGGCAUUGCGCUUACCGAAGAUUAUCAAACUCCGAAUGCCGUUAUUUUAUACUUGGGAGUCAGACUGUGGGUAAUAAGAUUCAUAGUCGAGAGGGCAACAGCCCAGAUCGUCAGCUAAGGUCCCUAAAUGUAAGUUAAGUGGUAAAGGAUGUGGGAUUGCAUAGACAACCAGGAUGUUGGCUUAGAAGCAGCCACUCAUUUAAAGAGUGCGUAAUAGCUCACUGGUCGAGUGAUCCUGCGCCGAAGAUUACCGGGGCUAAAACUUACUACCGAAGCUACGAUAUCAUUUAUGAUAGGUAGGGGAGCUUCCUAUGCAGGCUGAAGCAUGACCGUAAGGACAUGUGGACAGUAUAGGAGUGAGAAUGUUGGCAUGAGUAGCGAGACGUGGGUGAGAAUCCCACGGGCCGUAAACCCAAGGUUUCCAGGGGAAGGUUCGUCCGCCCUGGGUUAGUCGGGACCUAAGCCGAGGCCGAAAGGCGUAGGUGAUGGACAACAGGUUGAGAUUCCUGUACCACCGAUAAUCGCUUGAGAGAAGGAAUGACACAGUAGGAUAAGCUAACCACACUGUUGGUUAUGUGUGGCUAAGUACUGAGGCAGUCAAGGUAGGCAAAUCCGCCUUGAUAAUGCUGGGGUACGAUGGGGAGCGAAAUUAAGUAGCGAAGUAGCUGAUUUCACACUGUCGAGAAAAGUUUCUAUCGAGAUUAAAGGUGCCCGUACCGCAAACCGACACAGGUGGGUGAGGAGAGUAUCCUAAGGCCAGCGAGAGAACUGUUGUUAAGGAACUCGGCAAAAUGACCCCGUAACUUAGGGAGAAGGGGUGCCACGUUAGGGUUAACGCCCGAGGUGGCCGCAGAGAAUAGGCCCAAGCGACUGUUUACCAAAAACACAGGUUUCUGCUAAGUCGCAAGACGAUGUAUAGGAGCUGACGCCUGCCCGGUGCUGGAAGGUUAAGGGGAUCUGUUAGGAUUUAUCCGAAGCAGUGAACUUAAGCCCCAGUAAACGGCGGCCGUAACUAUAACGGUCCUAAGGUAGCG
This 1492-nucleotide ribosomal RNA is filed under the name Turicibacter sanguinis. RNAcentral's name for it is "partial 23S ribosomal RNA". It matches the Rfam family "Bacterial large subunit ribosomal RNA", at positions 465 to 1961 of the family's 2925-position model. Lineage: Bacteria; Bacillati; Bacillota; Erysipelotrichia; Erysipelotrichales; Turicibacteraceae. The record is from RNAcentral.